UAGUAUUGUCGGUUUGGAUCU
RNAcentral lists this unclassified non-coding RNA (21 nucleotides) under Dictyostelium discoideum. Lineage: Eukaryota; Evosea; Eumycetozoa; Dictyosteliales; Dictyosteliaceae. The record is from RNAcentral.